GAUGAACGCUGGCGGCGUGCCUAAUACAUGCAAGUCGAGCGAACAGACGAGGAGCUUGCUCCUCUGACGUUAGCGGAGGGCGGGUGAGUAACGCGUGGAUAACCUACCUAUCAGACUGGGAUCACUUCGGGAAACGGGCGCAAAUACCGGAUAAUAUAUUGAAGCACAUGGGUCAAUAGUGAAAGACGGUUUUGCUGUAACUACUCGAUGGAUCCGCGCCGCAUUGGCUGGUUGGUCAGGUAACGGCUUAUCAAGGCGACGAUGCGUGGCCGACCUGAGAGGGUGGUAGGCCACACGGGAACUGAGACACCGUCCAGACUCCUGCGGUAGGCAGCAGUAUGGAAUCUGCCGCAAUGGGCGAAAGCCUUACGGAGCAGCGCCGCGUGUGUGAUGAAGGUCUUCGGAUCGUAAAACUCUGUUAUUAGGGAAGAACAAAUGUGUAAGUAACUAUGCACUUCUUGACGGUACCGAAUCAGAAAGCCACGGCUAACUACGUG
RNAcentral lists this ribosomal RNA (497 nucleotides) under uncultured bacterium. RNAcentral's name for it is "partial 16S ribosomal RNA". It matches the Rfam family "Bacterial small subunit ribosomal RNA", at positions 28 to 507 of the family's 1533-position model. The record is from RNAcentral.